Solea senegalensis (Senegalese sole) is the source of this 451-nucleotide long non-coding RNA. RefSeq lists it as uncharacterized. NCBI's taxonomy places the organism in Eukaryota, Metazoa, Chordata, Actinopteri, Pleuronectiformes, Soleidae. The transcript has 3 exons. The record is from RefSeq and is a predicted model, not a curated record.
AUGUGAGGCUGCGACCUCAAUCCUCCCUCAUGAUUCUGGGUGAGAACUGCUGACAUCAGGGAUGAGAUUGCCAGGCAAUCACCUCACCUGGUGCUCGAGGUUGAUCCUUCUUUCUGGUAACAAACGACAGACGCCACAGUGUGUUUUCACCAGUUAACUGAAGAGUACUGCAGUCUCACUGAGAGCAGCAGAACAUCAUCUGUCAGCACUGGGAUCUUUCUGUACCUCCAUGUUCUAGCAGUGAUGCAUUCGAGCUGUCUGGACCUGCUAAGAUAUGGACACUGUCAGAAAAGCUGACAUCUGCUCUGACUAGUUUCCAUGCACUUCAGUCAACAGUGUUCUCUAUAAGCUUGGUAAAGAGCUGAGCCAACAGGGGGAGCUGUUGCUUUGAAUGACCGUCAACCGUCAGAGGACUCAUCUCUUCUGGAGUCCAGACACAAACACACUGAUG